This 424-nucleotide ribosomal RNA is filed under the name Verrucomicrobiota bacterium. RNAcentral describes it as "Verrucomicrobia bacterium partial 16S ribosomal RNA". It matches the Rfam family "Bacterial small subunit ribosomal RNA", at positions 355 to 776 of the family's 1533-position model. Lineage: Bacteria; Pseudomonadati; Verrucomicrobiota. The record is from RNAcentral.
UGAGGAAUAUUGGUCAAUGGGCGAGAGCCUGAACCAGCCACGUCGCGUGAAGGAAGACUGACCUUACGGUUUGUAAACUUCUUUUGUAGAGGGGUAAUGGCAGAUACGUGUAUUUGCGUGAAAGUACUCUACGAAUAAGCAUCGGCUAACUCCGUGCCAGCAGCCGCGGUAAUACGUAAGGUCCGAGCGUUGUCCGGAAUCAUUGGGCGUAAAGGGUACGUAGGCGGAUAAGCAAGUUAGAAGUGAAAUCCUAUAGCUCAACUAUAGUAAGCUUUUAAAACUGCUCAUCUUGAGGUAUGGAAGGGAAAGUGGAAUUCCUAGUGUAGCGGUGAAAUGCGCAGAUAUUAGGAGGAAUACCGGUGGCGAAGGCGACUUUCUGGCCAUAUACUGACGCUGAGGUACGAAAGCGUGGGUAGCAAACAGG